GUGGUGAUAUUAUGUGUCUUGUUAGUUUCAAUUUUAAUUUUAAGCCACAUAUUUCAAGAAUAUGUCAAGAAUAUUGACUUUGUGCUGGCCAUUCUAUAACCUGAAGCGAUUUUGUUUCAUGUAAUGUUUUACACAAAUUUGGCUCUAUGGAUCAGGGCAUUGUCAUCUUGAUAUAGGUUAUUGUCACCAAGGAAAUGGUAAGCAAUAAC
Molecule: long non-coding RNA, 209 nt
Filed under: Mytilus galloprovincialis (Mediterranean mussel)
Lineage: Eukaryota; Metazoa; Mollusca; Bivalvia; Mytilida; Mytilidae
Source: RNAcentral